This 461-nucleotide ribosomal RNA is filed under the name uncultured bacterium. RNAcentral's name for it is "partial 16S ribosomal RNA". It matches the Rfam family "Bacterial small subunit ribosomal RNA", at positions 28 to 523 of the family's 1533-position model. The record is from RNAcentral.
GAUGAACGCUGGCGGCGUGCCUAAUACAUGCAAGUCGAGCGGCAGCACGGUCUUCGGACUGGUGGCGAGCGGCGGACGGCUGAGUAACGCGUAGGAACAUGCCCUAAAGUGAGGAAUAACUGCCCGAAAGGGUGGCUAAUGCCGCAUGUGCUCUUCGGCGUAAAGCUUUAUGCGCUUUAGGAGUGGCCUGCGUCCGAUUAGCUAGUUGGUGAGGUAAAUGCUCACCAAGGCGACGAUCGGUAGCUGGUCUGAGAGGAUGAUCAGCCAGACUGGAACUGAGAACGGUCCAGACUCCUACGGGAGGCAGCAGUAGGGAAUUUUCCACAAUGGGCGAGAGCCUGAUGGAGCAACGCCGCGUGCAGGAUGAAUGCCUUCGGGUUGUAAACUGCUUUUAUGUGCGAAGAAUUUGACGGUAACACAUGAAUAAGGAUCGGCUAACUACGUGCCAGCAGCCGCAGUAA